ACGGGAGGCAGCAGUAGGGAAUUUUCGGCAAUGGGCGGAAGCCUGACCGAGCAACGCCGCGUGAUUGAAGAAGUAUUUCGGUAUGUAAAAAUCUUUUAUUUGGGACGAAAAAACAAAUUGACGGUACCAAAUGAAUAAGCCCCGGCUAACUACGUGCCAGCAGCCGCGGUAAUACGUAGGGGGCGAGCGUUAUCCGGAAUUAUUGGGCGUAAAGGGUGCGUAGGUGGCACUACAAGUCUUUGGUUAAAAUUCUAGGCUCAACCUAGUCUCGCCAAAGAAACUGUAGAGCUAGAGUACUGUAGAGGUGAGUGGAAUUCCAUGUGUAGCGGUAAAAUGCGUAAAUAUAUGGAGGAACACCAGUGGCGAAGGCGGCUCACUAGACAGAUACUGACACUGAGGCACGAAAGCGUGGGGAGCAAACAGGAUUAGAUACCCUGGUA
RNAcentral lists this ribosomal RNA (440 nucleotides) under uncultured Anaeroplasma sp. Its description in RNAcentral is "partial 16S ribosomal RNA". It matches the Rfam family "Bacterial small subunit ribosomal RNA", at positions 341 to 792 of the family's 1533-position model. Lineage: Bacteria; Bacillati; Mycoplasmatota; Mollicutes; Anaeroplasmatales; Anaeroplasmataceae. The record is from RNAcentral.